Molecule: ribosomal RNA, 823 nt
Filed under: uncultured Bacillota bacterium
Lineage: Bacteria; Bacillati; Bacillota
Description: bacterial SSU rRNA
Rfam family: Bacterial small subunit ribosomal RNA
Source: RNAcentral
GGAGGUAGCAAUACCUUAGUAAAGCGGCGCACGGGUGAGUAACACGUGGAUAACCUGCCUCGAAGUGGGGAAUAACCCCGGGAAACCGGAGCUAAUACCGCAUAACCUGACGAGAUCUGUGGAUUUUGUCAGUAAAGGAGCAAUUCGCUUUGAGAGGGGUCCGCGGCUGAUUAGCUAGUUGGUGAGGUAAUGGCUCACCAAGGCCACGAUCAGUAGCCGGUCUGAGAGGACGGUCGGCCACACUGGAACUGAGACACGGUCCAGACUCCUACGGGAGGCAGCAGUGGGGAAUUUUUCGCAAUGGGGGCAACCCUGACGAAGCAACGCCGCGUGGGUGAUGAAGUAUCUCGGUACGUAAAACCCUUUCGACGGGGACGAAACCGCAAGGUUGACGGUACCCGUAGAAGAAGCCCCGGCUAACUCCGUGCCAGCAGCCGCGGUAAUACGGGGGGGGCAAGCGUUGUUCGGAAUUACUGGGCGUAAAGGGCGCGUAGGCGGUUCGCUAAGUUGGAUGUGAAAACUCUGGGCUUAACCCAGAGCCUGCAUCCAAAACUGGCAAACUUGAGUACUGGAGGGGAAAGCGGAAUUCCUGGUGUAGCGGUGAAAUGCGUAGAUAUCAGGAGGAACACCGGUGGCGAAGGCGGCUUUCUGGACAGUAACUGACGCUGAGGCGCGAAAGCUAGGGGAGCAAACAGGAUUAGAUACCCUGGUAGUCCUAGCCCUAAACGAUGGAUACUUGGUGUGAGGGGGAUUGAAUCCCUUCGUGCCGUAGCUAACGCAAUAAGUAUCCCGCCUGGGGAGUACGGUCGCAAGGCUGAAACUC